AAGUCGUAACAAGGUUUCCGUAGGUGAACCUGCGGAAGGAUCAUUAACACGUAUCCGACUGGGUCAGCGAGCUAACGCUCCCUUAAAACCACUUAACAUGACGACAGUUCCUCUUUAACUUGAGUUGAGCAUAACAAAAAACUAUACAACUGUUAACAAUGGAUAUCUUGGUUCUC
Molecule: unclassified non-coding RNA, 176 nt
Filed under: fungal sp.
Lineage: Eukaryota; Fungi
Description: partial internal transcribed spacer region
Rfam family: Eukaryotic small subunit ribosomal RNA (bases 1-46)
Source: RNAcentral